GCAUAGCAAGUACCAUCCAAUUCCUCAUGAAUUCAUUUUAUAUUAGGAAUCUCAGGCAGCAUGUACAGUCUUUUGUUAGAUUGUGUGAACCAUGUAUGAGAACACAUCCGAAUAUUCCACACAAAUCACAGCACGAACAUUUGCCCCCUCCGGCUGCUCCUUUUACACACUUACAGAUUGAUUUUACUCAUGUACCCAAAAUUGGUAAGAAACAGCAAUACUUACUGGUCAUAGUUGAUCAGUUUAGUAGAUGGCCUGAGGCCUUUGUGACAUCUAGGGAGGAUGCUAGGACGGUAGUGAAGAUUCUUGCUACUGAAAUUAUUCCCAGGUAUGGCUGCCCUCUGCAGAUUAACUCUGAU
Molecule: non-coding RNA, 359 nt
Organism: Pelobates cultripes (western spadefoot toad)
Lineage: Eukaryota; Metazoa; Chordata; Amphibia; Anura; Pelobatidae
Source: the annotation of a GenBank genome assembly